GGGACAUGCAGAUGGGCAGAUGCAGGAGCUGGGGUGAGCGUUUGAGCUCUGGCCCCACAAUAGCAUCUAGGAGUGUGUUACUAUUAAUGCUUUUUUAGCUGACAGCUAAGUGUUAAACCAGAUCAGUGGAUGGCUAAUUUUUAAACCAGUUCACUGGACAGCUAAGUGUUAAACCAGCUCAGUGGAGAGCCAAGGUGACAGCCUUUAACACCCUGCCCUCUUGGUACCCGGGUCCUUGUCCAGCAUCCAGGAAGAAUCAGGUCACUUGGACUUGAAGCUUUUUAAAAUUUGCUUUAACAAAUGCUAGGCAGAGACACAACAAAAAAAGAGAAUUUUA
Molecule: long non-coding RNA, 337 nt
Filed under: Homo sapiens (human)
Lineage: Eukaryota; Metazoa; Chordata; Mammalia; Primates; Hominidae
Description: HSALNT0092079
Source: RNAcentral